Molecule: RNA transcript, 1316 nt
Organism: Triticum dicoccoides
Lineage: Eukaryota; Viridiplantae; Streptophyta; Magnoliopsida; Poales; Poaceae
Exons: 8
Source: RefSeq, a predicted model, not a curated record
CGGUCGAUCUCAGCGAUCGGCGGAGGAGGAUCCGGGUCGAGCCAAUCCAAUCCAGAGGUGUGAGUUGCGGGCGAGGGAGAGACACCUGGUGUACUGGCCUAUUACCAUUCCUUCAUUUGCUUGAUGGCUGGUAAAGUCGCAAACCUCGCAGGUGCUAUGCGUUGGCAAUUGAUUUGAGCAUAUUCUGCAGCUUCCUAUUGUCCAUUCUUGUGCUCAGUCGUUCAUCAUCUGAAAUGACUUUUGGACAGGUUGAUGCUAUGCUUCAGGAAUUGGAAAAGGAGAUUGAUGAUGUGGAUGCACAAGUCAGAAACCGCUGGCAACUGCUUGAUAGGCUGCCAAUGUAUUGGAUAGGCCGAGCUGAAGGAGCAAUCAUCAAGCCACCCGCUCAUCAGGUGGUGGAAUGCCUGCUUGGUGGCUUCCCAUUCAUUCGCAGGAAUCAUCAUGUUCAACUUGGUACUGAGUUGAUCCUGCAAGCCAAUGAAGAUUCAGACGAUGUGGUUGCUCUGGAGGCUUGUGACUCUGGUUUGUGUUCUGUUAACAUGCAAAAUCUGGCUCAGGCAGGUGAUUUCGGGAAGGAGCAGGAAGCUGCUGUAUUGGUGCUAUAGCAGAAGAGGGGUGCAUCACGGGGGCAUUUUCAGGAUGCGGUUGAUUGCUUGAGGAAGUUAGCUCCCCCUUGGAUGGUGCAGUGCAGUGCAGCAAAUUGAAAGUUGAUUCAUUCAUUCUUGGGAGGAAUGAGCUUCUGCUAGCAAUGCUUGGAGGAAUCAGCUUAUCAAGUGCGAGACAGAAGACCCCCUCUCCUCAAGCAGUUUCUUAAAUGGGCCGUCCAACACGGAUGACUAUCGGGUUCUUCUCCUCUUUCCUUUUCCUUUUUUACCUCUUUUAUUUACAUUUCCAAAAUUGGAAAAAAUGAUAUUCAAAUUUUAAAGCUAAAACAAAUUGCAUUAAAAAAUGUUCGGGACAUUUAAAAAUGUUCACGCUCUCAAACAAACUGUGGAAUUUCAAGAAAAUGUUUAUAAAAUGUAAAAACAGAAUAUUCGGUCAACUUUUAUAAAAUGUUUGUACCAUUCAAAAAAAUGUUUGUGACAUUUAUAAAAUGUUCACAUAUUCCCAAAAAUGACUGUGACAUUCCAAGAAAAAGUUUGAACAAUUUUAAAAUGUUUGCGUAAUUUUAUAAAAAAUAUUUCAUAGCAUUUAAAACAUGCGCAUGACAUUAAAAAAUGUUCAAACGUUCCAAAAAAUAGUAGUGACACCUUUUACAAAACAAAUUUUUAUACAACCUAAAAACAUGGUCAUUUAAUAUAUAUUUUUUAAAAAAU